AGGCUUGUUCUGAGGUCCAGGCUUCAGGGAGGUAGGAGGAAUGAAGAGGCCCUGUGUUCAAUUAGGUCAAAGUGAAGGCUGAGGAGGACUGAGAAAACCCCAUCCCAGAGAGAGGGUCCCAGAACAUUCUUAGAAAAGCCUCAGUUGCCUGCUCUGCAGCAAGAAGUACAGAAUUUUCCAAGAGGCUCCCUUUGUCCUCCCUGGGACCUGAGAGGACAUCAGAGCCUUGUUUUGAGGACUGAACUUAAGGUGAGAGGAGCAGAGAGGGCCUGAGAUCAGUUAGGUCCAGGUGAGACACAGUGGGGGGUAUGGAGGAAUCCCCAGCACAGUAAGAAGAUUUCUGAAUGUUCUAGAAAAUCCUUGUUUGCCUGCCCUGCACCACCUAGUGCAAGAUUCUCAGGAGAACUCCCCCUUUCUCUUCACUGGGUGCUGAGAAUCAGCCUUUUGCUGAGGACCAAGAUUCAGGUUGCAGGAGUAAAAGGCCUGGGGUUAGGUAGGUCAAGGCAGGGCUGACGGCAGAGUGAAGAAGCAUCACCUGAGAGAGAGGGGUUCCACAAUAACCUAGAUCUGCCUUUGUAGUUAGCCCAGCACCAGGUGAAAAUUCUCAGAGGAGUACCCCUUUGACCUCAAGGCGCCAGGAGGGGAGAGUCAGAGCCUAGUUCUGAGGGCUGUACUUCAGGUCUAGGGAACAAAUAGGAUUUGACUUAGUUAGGUCAAGAUGAGAAGCUACGGGAACACUGUUAAAGCCUCUCCUCACAUAUAGUUUCUCCAGGUAAUCCAGAUCUACCUCUGCUGUGGGCCCUGCACUACACAGGCACAGAUUUUUAGGGAUAAGCCCCUUGCCCAAGUGUGUCACAGAGGACCCUGAGAGUUGGAGCCUUUUUCUGAGUUCUGCACUUCAGGUGAGCUGAGAAGAUAGGACCUGAGAUUGCUUAGAUUAAGUUCAGGAGCUGAGAAGGAGAAAGGAAGCCCCAUCCCAAGUGGAAGGUCCCCAAAUACCCCAUAUCUGCCUCUGCUGACUGCACUGCACUUUGCCAUUGUGAAUUCUUAGGCUGUAGGUGUGUCCAAGUCAAAAGGUGUCCCUGCUCACACUGGUAGUUAAAGAAGUCAGCCAGUCCCCAGAUCCAUGCUGGGUUCAAGGAUACAAGGAAAAGGGCAUCUGCAUCAUUAUCACCAAGCUCUUGGUGACCCCAAGGAACCUUGAAACAUCUUCAUGGUCAGAGGAAACAGCCCAGCAAGCUAGGAGGAGGUCACAGGGUCUGGCAGGUGUGGAGGUUUUAAAGCCAAUAAGAGAGGAAGUAGCAGCCACUGCUUCCUCUGUGUCCUCUUCCUUCAGUACUCAAAUCCCUGCUACAGCAAAAGAAGUGUCUCGGGCUGGGACACCAAGUUGUUCUCAAAAUCCUCAGGGCAUCUUCUCUCCACCACUGCCAUGGCCUCCAGGCAAAGGAGCAAAUCUAGUGAGUGUUCCAGCAGGGAAGAAGAAGAUCUGUACACCUCUCAGCAGUCACUAGUCCUUCAGUUCUUGUGCCAUGUGUUCCUAGAUGACAAGAUUGCUAAACUGUUGCCAGUCCUGCUCCUCAAGUAUCAAAAGAGGGAGCUAAUCACCAGGGCAGAAAUAUUGCACAUUGUGGACUAUGAUUACCAUGAGCACUUCCUUCUGAUGUUCAAAGAAGUCUGUAAGUGCAUGUGUUUGGGCUUUGGCAUUGAUAUAAGGGAAAUAGAUCCCUCUGGCCACAGAUAUGUCCUUUUGCCUAUCUUGGGCCUCACUUAUAAUAGGAUACUCAGUAAUGAUUACAAGAGCAUUACCAAAAUUGACCUCCUGAUAGUCAUCCUGACUAUCAUCUUCUUGAAAGGUAACCGUGCCAGUGAGGAGGACAUAAAGGAAUACCUGAGAAAAAGGGAAAUGUUACCUCAGAAGGAUCACUUUGUAAUUGAGGAGCCCUGGAAAUUCAUCACAGAGGAUUUAGUACAAGCAGGAUAUCUAGAAUAUCGGCAGGUGCCCAAAAGUGAUCCUGCUCACUAUGAGUUCCUGUGGGGGCCAAGGGCUAAGGCUGAAACCAGCAAGAUGAAAGUCCUGGAGCAUCUGGCCAAGGUUAAUAAGAGAGAUCCCAGGUCCUACACACGUCUGUAUGAGGAAGCUUUGAGAGAGGAAUCAGAAGCUGCCCAUUCCUAAGAUACGGGGCAGUGCAGGGGGAAGGUUAGUGCUAGAGACAGGAAGUGUUCCUAACCACAUCACUGUCUUAGUUCCCACCCCAUGAGAAAUGACUCCCACUCUUCACUCUGUUUCUGGAUAGCACAUAGCUUUCUAAGUACUGAAGAGCCAGGGGAGGGGUAAAACCCCAUGCGUACCAUGUUGAUUUCUGUUCUAUUUGGGUUCCUUGGAAAUGCACUUGUGUUUUCUUUAUGACUUUUUGAAAUCUUGUUCCAUUUUUGCAAGUUUGGCACAAUUGCACAUCUUUGAAUAACGAUACUGAUCUCACAUGUAUUUGUAGUUUUGUGAUAUUGAGGGUUGAUUGUGAUUUCUGAUGUGAAUAUGAUUUUGUGUGAUAUCGAUCAUAUAGAAAUUUUGUUCUUCCAUUCCAAGUGUAAAACUGUUUUUGUAUUAAACUAACUUGGAAAACUUCCAUUUUAUUUUGAAGAAGAAACUACAAUAUUGGAAUAGGAAUUUCCAUGAAAAUGAGUAAAAAGUUCACAUCAAGUUAGAUGGAGUACAGAAAUAGACAUAAGGAUACAGACCAAUAUUUGGUUUUUCACUUUUUUCUGUUGUUUUAUCCAAUUAAAAUAUAUGCUUACCCAAAUAUGCUUGGUUUCUUCAA
This is a non-coding RNA of Heterocephalus glaber (naked mole-rat), 2816 nucleotides long. The record is from RefSeq and is a predicted model, not a curated record. NCBI's taxonomy places the organism in Eukaryota, Metazoa, Chordata, Mammalia, Rodentia, Bathyergidae.